UUUCAAGAAGCAGGGCAAGCCUAACAACAAGGGCAACUUCAAGAAGGGCGGCAAGAAAGUUGUUGCGCCUCCGGAGAAGCCCAAGGCUGGCCCUAAGCCUGAUACUGUGUGCUAUUACUGCCAGGGGAAGGGGCACUGGAAGCGCAAUUGCCCCAAAUACUUGGCCGAUCUGAAGAGCGGCCACGUCAAAAAGAAAGGAACUGCGGAAUAGACGAAGCCUGGCAAGAGACGAGGUGACGAUGCGCGUUGGAAAUGGAUCCAAAGUCGAUGUGAUCGCCGUCGGCACGCUCCCUCUACAUCUACCUUCGGGAUUAGUUUUAAACCUUAAUAAUUGUUAUUUGGUACCUGCGUUGAGCAUGAACAUUAUAUCUGGAUCUUGUUUAAUGCAAGACGGUUAUUCGUUUAAA
Molecule: long non-coding RNA, 407 nt
Organism: Lolium perenne
Lineage: Eukaryota; Viridiplantae; Streptophyta; Magnoliopsida; Poales; Poaceae
Source: RefSeq, a predicted model, not a curated record